RNAcentral lists this ribosomal RNA (466 nucleotides) under uncultured Desulfobulbus sp. Its description in RNAcentral is "bacterial SSU rRNA". It matches the Rfam family "Bacterial small subunit ribosomal RNA", at positions 338 to 795 of the family's 1533-position model. Lineage: Bacteria; Pseudomonadati; Thermodesulfobacteriota; Desulfobulbia; Desulfobulbales; Desulfobulbaceae. The record is from RNAcentral.
CCUACGGGGGGCUGCAGUGAGGAAUAUUGCGCAAUGGGGGCAACCCUGACGCAGCGACGCCGCGUGAGUGAGGAAGGCCUUCGGGUCGUAAAGCUCUGUCAAGAGGGAAGAAGUGCAUGGUGGUUAAUAUCUGUCAUGUUUGACGGUACCUCUAAAGGAAGCACCGGCUAACUCCGUGCCAGCAGCCGCGGUAAUACGGAGGGUGCAAGCGUUGUUCGGAAUCACUGGGCGUAAAGGGCGCGCAGGCGGCCUGAUCAGUCAGAUGUGAAAGCCCACGGCUUAACUGUGGAAGUGCAUUUGAAACUGUCAGGCUUGAGUACCAGAGGGGAAAGUGGAAUUCCCGGUGUAGAGGUGAAAUUCGUAGAUAUCGGGAGGAAUACCGGUGGCGAAGGCGACUUUCUGGCUGGAUACUGACGCUGAGGCGCGAAAGCGUGGGGAGCAAACAGGAUUAGAUACCCCAGUAGUC